RNAcentral lists this long non-coding RNA (2919 nucleotides) under Carassius auratus (goldfish). RNAcentral's name for it is "lncRNA (ENSCARG00000059068.1)". Lineage: Eukaryota; Metazoa; Chordata; Actinopteri; Cypriniformes; Cyprinidae. The record is from RNAcentral.
UGUGGAAAUCAGUUCUAUAUAGUUCGGUUUAAAUAGUAGUUGAACUUAAAAAUAACCUUAAAAGUGUUUAGAGCUAAAUCUAAGAGAUAUAUACAUACUCUAACUCCCAGAAUGCUGGUAUUGUUUUACUUUUCAUUGUCUACAUUAUAUUUAUGUUUCUGUGUACAUAAGGGGUGAACUGACUGAAAUAAUGUCAGUUUGCUUUAUGGAGCUAAAUAUUUGUACCAGCUUAUACUAUCACUUCCUUAAGCAAUAUUUGAUCACAUAAAUACAGUUUGAGGGCGAUGUAGUACAAUGUAUAUCCCUAAACGGCUUGUCGUCAGGCCAUAAAUCUGGCAACUUAAUCUAGAGUUCAAUAUAUUUUACAUUUAAAUUGCAGUGUGUCAAUUUUAGCGGCAUCUAGCGGUAAGUCUAAAAAUCAAAGAUUCAAAAAGGGUGUUUACACAGUGAUGCCAUAGUAAAGAACCAUUUUAUUUCCGAAAGAACAUAUCGAUGAACAGUUCUUAGCAGAACCAUUUUUAUUAGUGUGAAGAACAUUUUCACAUUUUUUUCUCUUUUAUCUACAUCGUCACACUUUGUCACCGGGAGACUUCUAAAAGUGCUUCUUUCCCAGUGUUCAGGAGUCGGUGAGUCAUGUGUUUUAAAUACCAAUAAAAGACGAUGAGACAAUCAUAUUCUAAAGGCGAUUGUAAGGGUUGCUCAUAAACUAGAAGAAUUCUGAUAAAACGUUGCAACAUGUGAUUUGCAGUUCCUGCCCUCUUCUGCCAUCUAGUGUUGAAUGUUAGCAGUUGCAGGCUUAUUCGUCAUAUAAUUAAUGUGUACACACCUCACUUUAGUGCGCUGUCUGUGUAAUUAAUGGUUGGAUUAUAAGACCUAAACACGGAGGCACUGAAUGUGAUUUGUUUACCUCUGAGUUCCAGACGUCCAUCUCUAUCAAUGUCUGCUGACUCCAUAAUGACCUGUGUGUCUUCACCUGACAGAGGCGCCUGGGGUAGGAUACAGACCAUGGACAAAAUAUCAGAGAAAGAUGUUGUUCGGCCAGAGAUGAUGACAGUGCACAAAAAGACUGACAAUGUAAAAGUGGGCUGUGAAUGCUUAAAAUACAGUCUUGUGAUGAAUUUCACACUGUUAAAUGACAGCGUGUGGACUCCUCCUGCACCUCUGAGGAUUUCAACUCUGUCAUGAAAUCUAGAAACAUACUGUACUAUUUUUCUGGUGAGAGAGGAAAGGACCCAUUCAAUAACUUGAAGACACUUUAAUGACACAAGAUGUUUUUGCAAGCGUUACAUGCAUCUGAAUUUGAUGCCGCAGAUACGUGAACAUGUAAUGAGUCGAACAUAAAAGGAACAUUUAAAAAAAAAAAUGUUUGAAUUACCAUUUGACACCAUUGAUAAUAUAUUAUCAUAUACUUUUGGUGUCUUUUUUUUCAUCUAUUUAUACAGACAGCAUUUGACACCAUUGAUAAUAUAUUAUCAUAUACUUUUGGUGUUUUUUUUUUUAAAUCUAUUCAUACAGACAGCUAUGUAUAUACUGUAAGAAGAGACUAAACCAUAUCAUUGCACUUCUGAUAAAGCAUAUCAGAAGUAAGACCUAAAAAUGAAUUUUGAUUCAGAAACUGGAUGUGUAUUAAAGACUACCAUUUCAAAUAUGGAUAAAAAAACAAUAAAUCAAUAAAUAUCCACAGCAUAUUAUCAGAUUAAUUUAAGGCACUGACUAGUCAAUAGUAUUCUUAUAAUGCAGUGAAUUGUAUCUUGUUGCCUCAUCUGGAAUUUGAUCAAUGUCUUUCUCACUCAGAUUCUCCAUCAUGCCCAGAGCAACUUCAUCUGCGGUCCAAAGCCAUCUGCUGUUAUGUCAGCUUAAAUAUAUUUGGAAGUUUCAGUAUCAAAAUAGAUGCAACAUUUUAGCUCCAGUAACCCUCUCUAGAUGCUUGUGUAAGCAUAACGUCUUUAAUAAUAAUGACUGACGCAGAGAUGUUAUCAUGUACUGUAUAAAUGAGUGUUUACACGACGGGUGAAAGAUGUUUUAAUAAUUGUAAUGAUCAUUAACUCUCACCAUUUGAAUAAUGAGGGAAAUGAAGUCUCGAGUCUAUGGCUCCUCUGAGAGGCAGCAUCUUACUUCCCCCAAAGGCACGACUUGCAAUAUGACUUAUGUUAAUGAAGCAAAAGUGUGGCCUUAAAAGACCUGGUUGGAGACCUGACAGAAACAGCAUUGUUGUUCUUGUUUUGCCAUCAAUAACCUGUGAAUUUAUGCAAUUAAAAUGUACGUUCUUUGAUCAUCUGCCAUCAUUUAUGUCCACUCUGUACCUUAUAGAAAUAGUUCACCCAAAAAUAAACAUUUACUAAAAAUCUACUCACCCUCAGGGUAUCCAAGAUGUUAAUGUGCUUGUUUAGUUAGUUUAGACAGCUGAUAAAAACAUAAACAGUCCAUCCGUUAAUGUCUUGUGAAGCAAAAAAAAAAAGUUCAUCCAUCAUUAAGAUGUUUAUCAAUCAUUAAGAACUUAAAAUUGCUGCUUCCAGCUCAAAUGGAGUCCUCUAUCCAUAUAUUGCUUUCUCUAUUGAAAACUUUUAUCAAGUCUGAAUCAGGAGAGAAAUAUGCACAGAUCAAGCACGGUUUUACAUGUUCUAAAGAAAUAAAUCAGCCAGGAACAAUAGUUUAAGUUUAAAUGCCUUAGUGAUGGAUUCAUUUCAUACAGACAUGAAAAACUACUCAUUUACAUAUUGGAUGGCCAGAGAGAGAGAGAGAGUACAUUUUAAGCAAAUUUAGAUUUCUUGGGUGAUUUAUUCUUUUAACUGUACUCUGCCAGCAGAUCUCUAUUUUUGGUCUGAGAUUAAUAUAACAACAGCUGUUAUUUGUACUGGAAAUGUUCCUAAAAUAAGCAGUACAUUAUUUAACUGGCUAUUUUUAGUCAGUUACAAAGAG